AUUGAACGCUGGCGGCAGGCCUAACACAUGCAAGUCGAGCGGAGCGGCGGACGGGCGAGUAAUGCCUAGGAAUAUGCCCGGUCGUGGGGGAUAAGGUCCGGAAUCGGGCGCUAAUACCACAUACUAUCAGAUGAGCCUCGGUCGGAUUAGCUAGUUGGGGGGGUAAAGGCUGACCAGGGCGACGAUCCGUAACUGGUCUGAGAGGCUGAUCAGUCACACUGGAACUGAGACACGGUCCAGACUCCUACGGGAGGCAGCAGUGGGGAAUAUUGGACAAGGGGCGAAAGCCGGAUCCAGCCAUGCCGCGUGUGUGAAGAAGGUCUUCGGAUUGUAAAGCACUUUAAGUUGGGAGGCGUUACCAACAGAAUAAGCACCGGCUAACUUCGUGCCAGCAGCCGCGGUAAUUC
Molecule: ribosomal RNA, 407 nt
Filed under: uncultured bacterium
Lineage: Bacteria
Description: partial 16S ribosomal RNA
Rfam family: Bacterial small subunit ribosomal RNA
Source: RNAcentral